GCAUCGGUUUAGCUCAAUGGUUCCCUCUGCACCAAACUAUCUAAUGGACCGCGAAUUCCAGGGUACGACCAUGGGCGCUGUCCGAUGUUUUC
This 92-nucleotide vault RNA is filed under the name Acanthochromis polyacanthus (spiny chromis). Its description in RNAcentral is "Vault RNA (ENSAPOG00000016265.1)". It matches the Rfam family "Vault RNA". Rfam says of the family: This family of RNAs are found as part of the enigmatic vault ribonucleoprotein complex. The complex consists of a major vault protein (MVP), two minor vault proteins (VPARP and TEP1), and several small untranslated RNA molecules. Lineage: Eukaryota; Metazoa; Chordata; Actinopteri; Pomacentridae. The record is from Rfam by way of RNAcentral.